Long non-coding RNA from Cucumis sativus (cucumber), 518 nucleotides. RefSeq lists it as uncharacterized. NCBI's taxonomy places the organism in Eukaryota, Viridiplantae, Streptophyta, Magnoliopsida, Cucurbitales, Cucurbitaceae. The record is from RefSeq and is a predicted model, not a curated record. The transcript is spliced from 2 exons.
GUGGUGCUUGUCAAUGACUCCACCAGAUUGGAUUGCCGGCAUUCUCUCCGAUAUUCCAGCGUCAUGCUCGUUAGAUCAAAAUCUUCCAACACAGUUAUUGGAAAGGCACGAAAGGAAUUCGAAGGAGAUAUGAUCUUUUGCAUAUGUCUACUUUAAUAAUAUAUAUCAUCGCAAAUCUACUUUGGUGAUUGAGUUUUGAUACUCACUGCUAAGCCUGAUCGAAUUCUCUCAGCGGUUUUAUCAGUGAGCUUGUCGAUCUUUUCGCUGUCGUUUUGGUCAGUGGGGAUGGCGAUUCUAUUGAGAUAAAAUGGGGUCAACUCUUCUCUAACUUGGUCUGGUAUUUUUGAUAACCUUCUUGUUUCUUUGUUCAUUAUAACCCAUGUGCUGAAAUCCAAAAAGAAUUGUACAUAACAAAAAAUUAUAAUGUAAGAGAGAAUAUUAACGAAAACAUGAAUGGAAAUUAUGUGCAUGAAUAUUAUUUGUUAUAUUAUAAAAUAUAAAGUUGAUUUGUAUAUCUA